RNAcentral lists this ribosomal RNA (468 nucleotides) under uncultured bacterium. RNAcentral describes it as "partial 16S ribosomal RNA". It matches the Rfam family "Bacterial small subunit ribosomal RNA", at positions 28 to 507 of the family's 1533-position model. The record is from RNAcentral.
GACGAACGCUGGCGGCGUGCUUAACACAUGCAAGUCGAACGGAAAGGCCCUACUUUUGUGGGGUGCUCGAGUGGCGAACGAGUGAGUAACACGUGAGUAACCUGCCCUUGACUUUGGGAUAACUUCAGGAAACUGGGGCUAAUACCGGAUAGGAGCUCCUGCUGCAUGGUGGGGGUUGGAAAGUUUCGGCGGUUGGGGAUGGACUCGCGGCUUAUCAGCUUGUUGGUGGGGUAGUGGCUUACCAAGGCUUUGACGGGUAGCCGGCCUGAGAGGGUGACCGGCCACAUUGGGACUGAGAUACGGCCCAGACUCCUACGGGAGGCAGCAGUGGGGAAUAUUGCACAAUGGGCGGAAGCCUGAUGCAGCAACGCCGCGUGCGGGAUGACGGCCUUCGGGUUGUAAACCGCUUUCGCCUGUGACGAAGCGUGAGUGACGGUAAUGGGUAAAGAAGCACCGGCUAACUACGUG